Molecule: ribosomal RNA, 391 nt
Filed under: Chrysophyceae sp.
Lineage: Eukaryota; Chrysophyceae
Description: partial small subunit ribosomal RNA
Rfam family: Eukaryotic small subunit ribosomal RNA
Source: RNAcentral
AUUCCAGCUCCAAUAGCGUAUACUAAAGUUGUUGCAGUUAAAAAGCUCGUAGUUGAAUUUCUGGAUGCGAAAGAUGGUCGGCACCUCACGGUGUCUGUACUUUUCAUUCGCGUCCAUCCUCGGGAGGAACGUGUGGGGCUUUAAGUAGUUCUGCUCGGGAAUCUCGUCAUUUACUGUGAGCAAAAUAGAGUGUUCAAAGCAGGCUUAUGCCGUUGAAUAUAUUAGCAUGGAAUAAUAAGAUACGACUUUGGUCUAUUUUGUUGGUUUGCAUUCCAAAGUAAUGAUUAAUAGGGAUAGUUGGGGGUAUUCGUAUUCAAUUGUCAGAGGUGAAAUUCUUGGAUUUAUGGAAGACGAACUACUGCGAAAGCAUUUACCAAGGAUGUUUUCAUCG